AGACCCGAAACCCGGUGAUCUAGCCAUGGGCAGGUUGAAGGUUGGGUAACACUAACUGGAGGACCGAACCGACUAAUGUUGAAAAAUUAGCGGAUGACCUGUGGCUGGGGGUGAAAGGCCAAUCAAACCGGGAGAUAGCUGGUUCUCCCCGAAAGCUAUUUAGGUAGCGCCUCGUGAAUUCAUCUCCGGGGGUAGAGCACUGUUUCGGCUAGGGGGUCAUCCCGACUUACCAACCCGAUGCAAACUGCGAAUACCGGAGAAUGUUAUCACGGGAGACACACGGCGGGUGCUAACGUCCGUCGUGAAGAGGGAAACAACCCAGACCGCCAGCUAAGGUCCCAAAGUCAUGGUUAAGUGGGAAACGAUGUGGGAAGGCCCAGACAGCCAGGAUGUUGGCUUAGAAGCAGCCAUCAUUUAAAGAAAGCGUAAUAGCUCACUGGUCGAGUCGGCCUGCGCGGAAGAUGUAACGGGGCUAAACCAUGCACCGAAGCUGCGGCAGCGACACUCAGGUGUUGUUGGGUAGGGGAGCGUUCUGUAAGCCUGCGAAGGUGGCCUGUGAGGGUUGCUGGAGGUAUCAGAAGUGCGAAUGCUGACAUAAGUAACGAUAAAGCGGGUGAAAAGCCCGCUCGCCGGAAGACCAAGGGUUCCUGUCCAACGUUAAUCGGGGCAGGGUGAGUCGACCCCUAAGGCGAGGCCGAAAGGCGUAGUCGAUGGGAAACGGGUUAAUAUUCCCGUACUUGGUGUUACUGCGAAGGGGGGACGGAGAAGGCUAUGUUGGCCGGGCGACGGUUGUCCCGGUUUAAGCGUGUAGGUGUGUGUUCCAGGUAAAUCCGGUUCACUUUAACACUGAGGCGUGAUGACGAGGCACUACGGUGCUGAAGCAACAAAUGCCCUGCUUCCAGGAAAAGCCUCUAAGCAUCAGGUAACAUCAAAUCGUACCCCAAACCGACACAGGUGGUCAGGUAGAGAAUACCAAGGCGCUUGAGAGAACUCGGGUGAAGGAACUAGGCAAAAUGGUGCCGUAACUUCGGGAGAAGGCACGCUGACACGUAGGUGAAGUGAUUUACUCAUGGAGCUGAAGUCAGUCGAAGAUACCAGCUGGCUGCAACU
Molecule: ribosomal RNA, 1110 nt
Filed under: Salmonella enterica
Lineage: Bacteria; Pseudomonadati; Pseudomonadota; Gammaproteobacteria; Enterobacterales; Enterobacteriaceae
Description: partial 23S ribosomal RNA
Rfam family: Bacterial large subunit ribosomal RNA
Source: RNAcentral